UGCAGUGACGUUCUCCGUUCAAUGCACCAUGAGCCAGAGAUCAUGUUUGAGACCCUUAAGCACAGGAUUGAAGAGUAUGUUCAUGACGAAGACAAUAUGGGUGGAGCCACGGUCGCUGGUGGAAUCGCACAGUCUUUCCACAACAUGCCUUAUCUGACUAUAGGGUCUUCUUGCUGUCUAACUGCUGCAAAUGGCAAUAACGGAUACUAUUACUGUUCUGAUGAGGAUUUCACUGCCGGAGCUGAUGAAGUUGCCAGUGAGGAUGAUCAGUGGUCCUAUGUCUGUGCUUGAGAAAACCCAAUCUUUCUUUGGUUUGGUUUGGGUGUUUGUCACUGAGAGCUAAUAUUGUAUGCAUCAGCAUUCAGCUAGUCUCGGUUAAAUGCUACUCAAAUGGUCAGAUUUUACAUUUGAUUCGAACGAUUUGCCUCAUGCACGACUCUAAUCAGAUGAAAAAGGAGAGGGGAAAAGGGGGAAAUCGGAGUUGAAGGUUAAACCCUCCGAGCACUGUCAUAUGCAAUUCGAGGCCAACAACGCAAGAAUUAGAAGGAAUUGUAAAAGGAUUCCAGCGUGUAGAAAGGCAAAACUCUAUUGUGUAAACGAUAGUAUACACUUGUAUUUAUAGUGCAAUGAUAAUAAAUGCAAUAAGACAAACAUGUUUAUUGUUA
Long non-coding RNA from Cynara cardunculus var. scolymus (artichoke), 665 nucleotides. RefSeq lists it as uncharacterized. The transcript has 3 exons. NCBI's taxonomy places the organism in Eukaryota, Viridiplantae, Streptophyta, Magnoliopsida, Asterales, Asteraceae. The record is from RefSeq and is a predicted model, not a curated record.